GGUUCUUCAAUUCAUAAUUCCUGAGUUCUUUAAUUACUUUUAUUUACAUUCAAGUUAUUUAUUGGAUUCCCGCUUGCAUCAAGUGCUCUAGUCUUUAUAACAUUAGAGUAGUAAUUAAUAGAUUAGACGUGGUGUUUAGUCUUGCAAUUACCUGGAAUUGCACCCAAUCCUGCGGAUUGUUGUGGUAGCCUUAGGGUAGUGACAGCCCUAACGGUCGACGUAUUCCACCUCGUUCGGAUCGGUGUUGGUAGGACCGUAGUCGGAGCUUCCUAGCCCCCUUCUCAUCUCUUUCUGUGGUUAGUGUUCUGAUGUCCCGAUAUAGAUAAUCUUGAAGUAAUUCUUGAUUCUUAGAUCAACUAGAGAACUCUCAGGAAACUUCCUCUCUUCCCACCAAAAAUAAUUAUAUAGUUAUCCUUGGGC
This 420-nucleotide long non-coding RNA is filed under the name Sorghum bicolor (sorghum). RNAcentral's name for it is "long non-coding RNA (SBIC_LNC012372)". Lineage: Eukaryota; Viridiplantae; Streptophyta; Magnoliopsida; Poales; Poaceae. The record is from RNAcentral.